Brienomyrus brachyistius is the source of this 321-nucleotide long non-coding RNA. RefSeq lists it as uncharacterized. The transcript has 3 exons. Lineage: Eukaryota; Metazoa; Chordata; Actinopteri; Osteoglossiformes; Mormyridae. The record is from RefSeq and is a predicted model, not a curated record.
AAUUAUAAACAAAAUAAAUUACAGAAUCUGGUAAUGAUCAAUUCUUUAUGCAUUCAUAAUAAUAUUCUAUGUUAUUUUAGGUAAUUAAUGCUUUCUUAAGGUUGCUGGUCAUUGAGAACAAUAAGGUCAACAUGAGUAAGGCAGUCAUGAUUGACUCUUAUGAAAUGACAGCAAUCUGGAUGGGGAGGACAUCCAAAGUUAAAAUGAGUCCAAUGGAUUUCCAAACAGUUUUGGGCAUUGUUAAUGUGCAUUACCACUGGAUGCUGAUGGUGAUCUCUCUGCAUGAGAAAAAGUGUGUUUUCCUGGACCCAAUGGGAGAGG